GCUCGCGUAGCUCAGUGGAUAGAGUGCUUCCCUCCGAAGGAAGAAGUCGCAGGUUCAAAUCCCGCCGCGAGUA
This 73-nucleotide transfer RNA is filed under the name Acidobacteriota bacterium. Its description in RNAcentral is "Acidobacteria bacterium (soil metagenome) tRNA-Arg". It matches the Rfam family "tRNA". Rfam says of the family: Transfer RNA (tRNA) molecules are approximately 80 nucleotides in length. Their secondary structure includes four short double-helical elements and three loops (D, anti-codon, and T loops). Further hydrogen bonds mediate the characteristic L-shaped molecular structure. tRNAs have two regions of fundamental functional importance: the anti-codon, which is responsible for specific mRNA codon recognition, and the 3' end, to which the tRNAs corresponding amino acid is attached (by aminoacyl-tRNA synthetases). tRNAs cope with the degeneracy of the genetic code in two manners: having more than one tRNA (with a specific anti-codon) for a particular amino acid; and 'wobble' base-pairing, i.e. permitting non-standard base-pairing at the 3rd anti-codon position. RNAcentral also lists the same sequence under 3 other names. Lineage: Bacteria; Pseudomonadati; Acidobacteriota. The record is from RNAcentral.